UAAUACAUAAGUAAACCGCCCUAGACAGGGGGAGUAACUAUUGGAAACGAUAGCUAAGACCGCAUAGGUACGGACACUGCAUGGUGACCGUAUUAAAAGUGCCUCAAAGCACUGGUAGAGGAUGGACUUAUGGCGCAUUAGCUGGUUGGCGGGGUAACGGCCCACCAAGGCGACGAUGCGUAGCCGACCUGAGAGAGUGACCGGCCACACUGGGACUGAGACACGGCCCAG
RNAcentral lists this ribosomal RNA (231 nucleotides) under uncultured bacterium. Its description in RNAcentral is "partial 16S ribosomal RNA". It matches the Rfam family "Bacterial small subunit ribosomal RNA", at positions 111 to 334 of the family's 1533-position model. The record is from RNAcentral.